UACACUCGCGAGUUUCACAACACAGUCAGCUGGGAAGAAAGCUCGUAAACUCGAUCGUUUUGAGUGGAGCGAGAAUAGGUUCUUGUCGAGCUCAGCGAAUUUUCUCUUCCUAUUUGAUCGUACCAGCGUAACUGACCAGACCUAAUUUUUCGUAUCGAAAUUAAAUUACGCGCUUAACCCAGGCUAAUAGUAUAAGUCCUAAAUAUUCAAAGAGCAAUCUCGAAAUAUUUAAGGCAUCCGUGGGAAUUUUAAAUAAAUCUUCGAAAAGAAUUGUUUUGAAAGUGGUCUAUAGUUCGGCCAGAACAGAUUUUGGUUCAAAGCAGGCGCUUUUAAAACAUUGCUGUGCCCAACAAAAACAUAGCGAAGGAAAAUAAAGAAAAAGACCAGAUCAGGGUCAAGUCAGGGGCAGAAGAACCCGUGGAAAGGGCCGAGCUCCCCGACGCAACUUUCUUUGGCAGACCAGCAGCCGCAGCAACGUUACAUAUGCGCAGUCUGAGUUUGUUCGAUUGACAUUAGCGGGAGAGCAGGGUUAACGACCGGAGCAGAACGUUUGGAAAACGGAAUACCGGAGACAAGCAGAAGAAGGCGAAGCAGCAGCAAUUAGUGAAUUAGUGAAAAUUUAGGGUUGAGUAAAAGAAAUUCGCAAUUACAUCAAAAAGAAGACAUGUAAACGAAUAGGCACGUUCAAGAUCACCAACACAUGUACAACCGGACAAAAGAAUAAAGUGUAAAGUAACUAAGACAUGCAAAGUGAGUGAAAAGGCAGAGUGAAAAUAACCCAGUGAAGCGAGACUUGUAAUGCUCUAUCACCCCAAACUAAUUACCUAAAAUCAAAAAAAAAAAAAUCAAACCGAUCUUCUAGAAGGCCUUCUACGAUAAAUCUGGGUGAGUCCAACAGACCGAAUAAAAACAACCAAUAAAAACCAAAAGAAAUUAACCAUGUAAAAGAAAGCGUGGAAACCGACAUACCCGUCUCUGUGAGAUAGAGUGUGCGAUCGAAAGAAGAGGUGAAGAAAGAGAGUUAACAGAGAUAACGAUGCAAUCCGCAAAGCACCUGCACCGAUUUUUUGCGUGUUUGUUUUGAUUUUGCGUUUGCUGACUUUCCUCGUUUUAUUGGUUUCACUUUGAUACAAGAAAACCUUAACCCCUUAUGAUAUAUUUGCAUUGAAUUGAUUUUUCUAU
Drosophila obscura is the source of this 1182-nucleotide long non-coding RNA. RefSeq lists it as uncharacterized. Lineage: Eukaryota; Metazoa; Arthropoda; Insecta; Diptera; Drosophilidae. The record is from RefSeq and is a predicted model, not a curated record. The transcript is spliced from 3 exons.